ACUGAACGUUAUGCCAUGGAUUCUGUAGAUGAGGACCUGUCUGCUCGAAUUCUCCUGCAAAAUGUAAUUCAAACGGAGUCCUCCAGGUCCCCAAUUACCCGCAGUGCCUCCCAGGCUCAGUUCCAGUCCCCUGGGUCCAGAGUCAGACAUAGUAUCAGACUAAGGAGGAGUGAUGUUGUGGCCCUUACCCCACAGGAGGCCCUCAAACAGAGCAUCAAAAAGAAGCUUCGUGAGAGCACUUCCAGGUCUUCCCUGCCAGAGCCACCCAGUAAGAGGUGGGCUGUAUCAGAGGGAGUCGGGAAGAUAAACACGCCUGCACCAGCCACAGCCUCACUUCUCUAUGACGAUGACAUCACACCUAGAUACCUACUCAGGGGGAUCCUGCAGACAGAGCCGGAGACAUCCCUUCUGGUUCAGGACCGGCCAGUCAGGAAGGAGCCAGAGCUGCCCUCCACAAACUCCAGUCUUCACAGCAACCGCCCAAGUACAGGGCUGUCUGACUUGGAUUUCCCUGACAUGACCACCACAGUAAACCUGUCAAAUACGGUGAAGGGACUACGCAGGAAGCGACCAUGUCGGAGUCUCAACAUAACAGCAUUCAACAGGCAGCUUGAACAUGAAGGUGGCAGUGCAACAGAAAAAGACCUCUCAUCCCUGUCUUCUGCCUCUCCAAGCUCUAUCACCUUCUCUCUGAAAACACCCUUUGUGGACAUUCCGAAUGAGAAAAGGAGAUUUCAAAGGAAGGUAGCAAAUCGUAAAAAGAUUUGCCUUGAGGAGUUUGACGAGGCCCUACGGAAUCGACAGGCGGCAAUGGGUGGAGACCCUGAGCUGAGUGUUAGGGAGGAUCAGCAGGGUCUCAGUGAGACCGUUCGUUCUGAGGGGUUCACCUUGGGACUGAGUGACCUCACCGCUCCUGACAUCACCCAUGACAUCAUCACCAGCAAAACAGAGCUCUACGCCCCGCCUGAUGACACAGCAACAACCUUCACUAUCGCCACCCAGGACAAAGACACCAUCACAGGCACACAGAUCCAGCGAGAAAUGGGAGGAAUGAAGGAUGAGGAGGAGAAAGAUAUGGAGGAGGUAGGGGAACAAAAGGAGUACAAGAUGGAAAUAGACAACAAAGAUAGAGAGGAUUUGGCUGUUGAUGCUGGGCAGAGAGAGGCCUUGGUGAGACAGGAGGAGUCCAAAUCACAGACCGAAGAGGUAGCUGACUCCCGGACAGGAGAAGAUGAGGAGCUGGCUAAAUCUCAAACAGAAGGAGAGGUAGCCGAGUCUCCGGCAGAAGGAGAGGUAGCCGAGUCUCCGGCAGAAGGAGAGGUAGCCGAGUCUCCGGCAGAAGGAGAGGUAGCCGAGUCUCCGGCAGAAGGAAGAGGUAGCCGAGUCUGCCGCAGAAGGAGAGGUAGCCGAGUCUCCGGCAGAAGGAGAGGUAGCCGAGUCUCCGGCAGAAGGAGAGGUAGCCGCGUCUCCGACAGAAGGAGAGGUAGCCGCGUCUCCGACAGAAGGAGAGGUAGCCGCGUCUCCGACAGAAGGAGAGGAGGAGGAGAUGACUGA
Long non-coding RNA from Oncorhynchus tshawytscha (Chinook salmon), 1554 nucleotides. The record is from Ensembl. Lineage: Eukaryota; Metazoa; Chordata; Actinopteri; Salmoniformes; Salmonidae.